UAUUUACGUGUGGGGUUGAACAGAGUUUUGGGCCUGCUUCUGCACACUUCUCUAUUGAGCUACCCAUGGCCCUCCAAGCCCUGUCACUUAUUUUUAAAGGGUGUACUUCUUCAAUCUAGCCUAGUUGAUGUGGGCCUGCAAAAAUCCAAGAAGCGAUCAUUGUGGAAGCUGCCAAUCUGCUCUGAGAAUGUGUAUGUGUGAAUACAAAUGUUCACUCUCUCCUUUCCAGGAGCCCUCUGGAGCCAGUGCCCAGUGCUCCAUGUGAGAUCAAGGCCAUGCAAUUCUGUUUAUAGUGUGAAAUACAAAACUUCCAGAGAGUGGGAGCACAGCUAUCCUGGAAGGAGAAAAUAUCAUGUAUUUUGAAAUAGUUUUGAUGUGUUGCAUCUUUAUUUUGUUUUUCAGUGACUUUUUUUAAAAGCCAAGUCUACAUAUUGAAAAUACAUGUGGAUUAAAUAUUUUCCUAAAGGGAAGCUAUAUCAACAUAGGCCCAUUUAGUUUUUGUUUUAAUGUCAAGUUCAACACCGAGGUCUAUUAAAGUAAAAAUGUAAAGAGAACUGUCUUCUUAUAGAUAAUUCCCUUUAGGACAGCCAAACUGGGUGUUAGUUCCCUCUCUAGGGUAUGUGUUCUGCAAGAGGAUGCAGCUGCCAGCUGAGCCCUGGUCAAUCUGAACCACACAGCAGUCAGUCAUACACCCUGAGACUCCAGGUACACAUCCUGAUCCUGAUGAAAGAAGACUCUCGAGGACAUCAUGAUGCUUCUAAUUAAUUUAAAGUUUAAUUAUUCAAAUUUGUGUUUGAUAUUUUGCAUUUAUACUAAUCAAGCAAAGAAUCCAUUAUGAAACACUUGUUAUUAGAAUUUUAUCCCCCCUCUUGCUUGGAUUAUUGUCAUUGUGUCCUAACUAGUGUGUCUGUCUGUUCUUAGGGAAUUUGAACUCUAAUUAAGAUUGCAAAUUAAAAAUCAAGAUGCCCCAUUGAAUGUAAAUUUCCAAUAAGCAACUUUUUUAAAGUAUAAGUUUG
RNAcentral lists this long non-coding RNA (1016 nucleotides) under Marmota monax (woodchuck). Lineage: Eukaryota; Metazoa; Chordata; Mammalia; Rodentia; Sciuridae. The record is from RNAcentral.